This is a small nuclear RNA of Talpa occidentalis (Iberian mole), 104 nucleotides long. NCBI's taxonomy places the organism in Eukaryota, Metazoa, Chordata, Mammalia, Eulipotyphla, Talpidae. The record is from RefSeq and is a predicted model, not a curated record.
GUGCUCGUUAAGGCAGCACUUACACUAAAAACGGAGCAACAAAGAGAUUAGCAUGGCCCCUGCACAAGGAUGAUGUGAAAAUUCGUGAAAUGUUCCAGAUUUAA